RNAcentral lists this ribosomal RNA (254 nucleotides) under uncultured bacterium. RNAcentral's name for it is "partial 16S ribosomal RNA". It matches the Rfam family "Bacterial small subunit ribosomal RNA", at positions 524 to 776 of the family's 1533-position model. The record is from RNAcentral.
UACGUAGGCAGCAAGCGUUGUUCGGAGUUACUGGGCGUAAAGGGUGCGUAGGCGGCUUUUUAAGUUUGGUGUGAAAUCUCCCGGCUCAACUGGGAGGGUGCGCCGAAUACUGAGAGGCUAGAGUGUGGGGAGAGGAAAGUGGAAUUCCUGGUGUAGCGGUGAAAUGCGUAGAUAUCAGGAGGAACACCGGUGGUGUAAACGGCUUUCUGGACCAUAACUGACGCUGAGGCACGAAAGCGUGGGUAGCAAACAGG